GUGAGAGGGAGGUCAGACAACUUAUCCAAAACAUGUUUGCAUGUUAUUCAGUUUUUAAUGAAAAAAAAGCCACACACUUGACCCUUAAAUGAAAUACCAAGGGUUAUUGGAUAUCCACGGAUUUUAGAAGGCUUUGUUCCCACACAUGGCUCCAUGAUCAAAGUAAAACUAUUAUGCUGAGACCCUUUAUAAAAUGUACAAUAAGAGAGAUUUGAAUACAUGACAAUGCUUUAAAACCUAUUUUAUUGUUUUGCCUUGUUUAAUCCCUGUAUUUACCUGCAGCAUCUUAGCUUACUUUUUCCGACCUCUUUUUUUAUUUUAGGUGGUAUUGCAUUUUGUUAAAAAAAAAACACUAGAAUUUCUCUCCCAAUCCCACAGCAGGACCAAACAUCCCCAAGUUUAAUAUUUUAAGAGGAGAAACAAUAACCUAUAGGGAUGGCACAUAUUAAUUAAGUGAUGGAACUGGUAGAAUACUUGACUUAGUGCACUUUGUACCCCACUUUUAUAGGUGUUUUACUUUGUAGAAUAAUACAUAACAUAGACAAACAUAAUACAGUUGUACAUAGGCCUACAUUGGAAAUAGUUCAAAUUGACCCACCGUGACAUUGUACGUGAAUGCAUCAUCAAUUAAAAAAUCCAAUAGUAUAAUUCCCUUAUUUCACAAAUGUAACGUCUUUAAAACUUUUUACCCAAAUGUGUAUUUUUUUAUAUACAACCACUUUACAUUUUAGUAUUAAUCAUUUUUACAUUAAAACAUGUUGUAACCUUUUCCUGGACGUAAACAUUGAUUUCUGUGGAGUUUAAAGCAGUCCUACCCGAGAUUGUCAAUUCCUUUAACCCAGAAGCCAAUUCCCGUAAAUCCAAAUCUUUCAGUUUCCCUCUGACUGGUCGAUGGGAGGUUAUAAACACGGAAUUCCCCUGUUUGUAGAACCAUUAAGUCUCCAACAAUACAGCAAGUCCUCCAGAGGCUCAGCGGAGACGGACGGAUGCAGGUCUCUUCGGGUCGGAGCCUGCAGUAAUUAAACACAUCCAUCAGAUCAUGACAGUGUUGUCAGGAACGGCACACCAGGGGAACGGUAACCAUGACAACCGCAAGGAAUCCUUUCACGCCAUCAAUAUAUGAAACUUGCUUCAGAGAGCCAAUCCAUCACAAUGGCAACACACUCUGCUGUGUUCGGUAAUAGGUGGAUGUUUAUUUUUCUUGAAAGAGGCGUCAAACCUUUAUAAACAAUGGUAAGUUCAGCAAAGGGCGGAGUCAGUUAUAAUCCAUGUUACAUCUGCAGCUUAAGUCCUUUUGGAAUUUCAAAUGUGUGGACGAUUCAAAGUGAGUAAACAUUGAGAUUAAGCACCCAUUAAGUCUGCACCUGGAGUAGUAGAAAGAAAUAUUAUAUCUCACUGCUAUCACCUAUUCAUUAUUUAAUUCUUACUUUCAUAAAUAAAUAUCAG
Long non-coding RNA from Notothenia coriiceps (black rockcod), 1446 nucleotides. RefSeq lists it as uncharacterized. The transcript is spliced from 3 exons. The record is from RefSeq and is a predicted model, not a curated record. Lineage: Eukaryota; Metazoa; Chordata; Actinopteri; Perciformes; Nototheniidae.